RNAcentral lists this ribosomal RNA (119 nucleotides) under Sphaeramia orbicularis (orbiculate cardinalfish). Lineage: Eukaryota; Metazoa; Chordata; Actinopteri; Kurtiformes; Apogonidae. The record is from RNAcentral.
ACUUAUGGCCAUGCCACCCUGAAAACACCCAAUCUCCUCUCACCUUGGAAGUCAAAUAGGGUUGGGCCUGGUCAGUUCUUGAGUGGGAGACUGUCUUGGAAUACCAGGUGCUGUAAGCU